CUUCUCACAGCCAAUCACAGAGUGUUUGGCUGUAGCCCUCCGUCUGUAACCCAGAUUGUGUUAUCUUUAGCUAGUUUGAAGAGGUUUCGAUUUGUUUGGCUUUUGAAUUCAGAUCGAGUAUCUUCUGGGUCGACGGAUGAUGAUGACAUGAUUGAACGCCCUCUCCUGGAAGGACUGACCGCGGGAGCCGUAGAUGAACUAAAGACCAGGGUUCUACCAUACUGAAGUUGUAAGGUAAGAUACAAAAAAAACAUGCCUUUUCGAUUUCUUUCUUGGUCAAUGAGAAAGUGUCCUGUUAUAUCUAGGGAAUGUACAGGUAUCUUGCCUGUGGGUUUACUUGUUCAUCCGUUAAGAGACUGGGUGUUGUACCAACAUAAUUUAAUGAGUGGAGGUGUUCCAAGUUUUAACUGUAAUGAGAUGUAG
This is a long non-coding RNA of Gadus macrocephalus (Pacific cod), 423 nucleotides long. RefSeq lists it as uncharacterized. The transcript has 3 exons. NCBI's taxonomy places the organism in Eukaryota, Metazoa, Chordata, Actinopteri, Gadiformes, Gadidae. The record is from RefSeq and is a predicted model, not a curated record.